ACUUGAACAGGCUGUUGCUGGCCCUCUCUUGUGAGGGGGACAUGUGCACGCUUGUCAUCUUUAUCUCUCCAACUGUGCACACAUUGUAGACCUGGAGUCGUCUUUGUUGAUUCAUUCGAGUUGGCACUGCAGCGCUUUUCAAAACAAAAAAAAGUCUGCUCUGCCUUUUGCAUUUCCAGGUCUAUGUCAUUUUCACAACCUCAAUGUGUUUAGAAUGUUGAAUCAGGUUCUUUAUUGUACCUAUAAAAGUUAAAUAUACAACUUUCAGCAACGGAUCUCUUGGCUCUCGCAUCGAUGAAGAACGCAGCGAAAUGCGAUAAGUAAUGUGAAUUGCAGAAUUCAGUGAAUCAUCGAAUCUUUGAACGCAUCUUGCGCUCCUUGGUAUUCCGAGGAGCAUGCCUGUUUGAGUGUCAUUUCGAGUUCUCAACUGCAUCAAUUUCUCAUUGAUGUGGCUUGGAUGUGGGGGAUUGAUUAUUGCAGGCUUCUGUCAAAGGAGGUCGGCUCCCCUGAAAAGUAUUAGUGGUAUCUGAGCAGAAGAAACUACUACAGGUGUGAUAACUAUCUAUGCCUUCAGUAUGCUGCAUAAAAACAGAUUGCACUGCUUCUAACUAAUGAAAACCUCUCUUUUACAAGGAGGGGCCACAUUUGACGAAUUUGACCUCAAAUCAGGUAGGACUACCCGCUGAACUUAAGCAUAUCAAUAAGCGGAGGAAAAGGAACUAACAAGGAUUCCCCUAGUAACUGCGAGUGAAGCGGGAAAAGCUCAAAUUUGAAAUCUGGCGGUUUUUUGACUGUCCGAGUUGUAAUCUAGAGAAGUGUUACCUGUGCUGAACCGUGUACAAGUCUUCUGGAAUGGAGCAUCAUAGAGGGUGAGAAUCCCGUCUUUGACAUGGACUACCAGUACAUUAUGGUGCGCUCUCGAAGAGUCGAGUUGUUUGGGAAUGCAGCUCAAAAUGGGUGGUAAAUGCCAUCUAAAGCUAAAUAUUGGCGAGAGACCGAUAGCGAACAAGUACCGUGAGGGAAAGAUGAAAAGAACUUUGGAAAGAGAGUUAAACAGUACGUGAAAUUGCUGAAAGGGAAACGCUUGAAGUCAGUCACGUUGGCUAGAAAUCAGCCCUGCUCUUGCUCGGUGUACUUUCUGGUUGAUGGGUCAGCAUCAAUUUUGACCAUUGGAUAAAGUCUCUGGGAAUGUGGCAUCUUCGGAUGUGUUAUAGCCCAGGGUCGCAUGCAGUGGUUGGGAUUGAGGAACUCAGCACGCCGCAAGGCCGGGUUUCGACCACGUUCGUGCUUAGGAUGCUGGCAUAAUGGCUUUAAUCGACCCGUCUUGAAACACGGACCAAGGAGUCUAACAUGCCUGCGAGUGUUUGGGUGGAAAAACCCAUGCGCGGAAUGAAAGUGAAAGUUGAGAUCCCCCUCGAAAGGGAGCAUUGACGCCCGGACCAGAGCUUUUGUGACGGAUCCGCGGUAGAGCAUGUAUGUUGGGACCCGAAAGAUGGUGAACUAUGCCUGAAUAGGGUGAAGCCAGAGGAAACUCUGGUGGAGGCUCGUAGCGAUUCUGACGUGCAAAUCGAUCGUCAAAUUUGGGUAUAGGGGCGAAAGACUAAUCGAACCAUCUAGUAGC
This 1621-nucleotide ribosomal RNA is filed under the name Inocybe cf. leiocephala STZ5693. RNAcentral describes it as "eukaryotic LSU rRNA". The stretch from base 656 to 1621 matches the Rfam family "Eukaryotic large subunit ribosomal RNA", at positions 1 to 951 of the family's 3401-position model. The record is from RNAcentral. Lineage: Eukaryota; Fungi; Basidiomycota; Agaricomycetes; Agaricales; Inocybaceae.